GACGAACGCUGGCGGCGUGCUUAACACAUGCAAGUCGAACGGAAAGGCCCUGCUUUUGUGGGGUGCACGAGAGGCGAACGGGUGAGUAAAACGUGAGUAACAUGCCCUUGAAUUUGGGAUAACUUCAGGAAACUGGGGCUAAUACCGGAUAGGAGAUACUGCUGCAUGGUGGGGGUUGGAAAGUUUCGGCGGUUGGGGAUGGACUCGUGGCUUAUCAGCUUGUUGGUGGGGUAGUGGAUUACCAAGGCUAUGAAGGGUAGCCGGCCUGAGAGGGUGACCGGCCACAUGGGGCCUGAGAUACGGCCCAGUCUCCUACGGGAGGCAGCAGUGGGGAGUAUUGCACAAUGGGCGGAAGCCUGAUGCAGCGACGCCGCGUGCGUGAUGACGGCCUUCUGGUGAUAAACCACUUUCGCCUUUGACGAAGCGGGAGUGACGGUAAUUGGUAAGGAAGCACCGGCUAACUACGUG
This 468-nucleotide ribosomal RNA is filed under the name uncultured bacterium. RNAcentral's name for it is "partial 16S ribosomal RNA". It matches the Rfam family "Bacterial small subunit ribosomal RNA", at positions 28 to 507 of the family's 1533-position model. The record is from RNAcentral.